Molecule: small RNA, 556 nt
Filed under: Histoplasma capsulatum
Lineage: Eukaryota; Fungi; Ascomycota; Eurotiomycetes; Onygenales; Ajellomycetaceae
Also listed under: 1 other name
Description: hypothetical RNA
Source: RNAcentral
ACAGCUUUGGCCCAAAAAUUGAGGAGAGUGUUGGAGUCCUGAUUAAAAUUGUCAUGUUUUUGGGUUUUUCGACAAUGGAUUUCGUGCCGCUGAAUAGCUCUCUGUAUGCAGUUCAACUGCACAGCACAAGUGUCCGAAAGUGUCAAAUGCCGACUCCAUCAACUCUGGGAACAAAACUGCUUCAGGAUGUGAAAUUAUGAGCUGUAAUAAAAAUAGUGAAUCUAAACUGUUCAUUGGCUGUAUAAAUUAAUUUCCAUGUCUCAAGAUCUGCAGCAGUUCCGCAAGCGAGAGCAAGAUGCGUCUAUUGGGGACAUAGUGCUGGGUAGGGGGUUCAGAUUGCCAGAAGGAAUUCGUCCGUUGUACAGGAGCAUAGAGCAAAAUAGCUAACUAAGUUAAGCUUGUGUAAGCUUCUUUUCCUUGUUUCAUAGACUUUUUUUGGUUUGAAGGAGAAAAAUCUCCAUACUGCCAGGCAAAAUGGGCGGAAAGGGUAAAGGGAAGAUCUUUCUUAAUGAUCAUUAACACUCCCCUUUAUACCUUAUUUGAGACUAACUGUAUU